This 1057-nucleotide long non-coding RNA is filed under the name Marmota monax (woodchuck). Lineage: Eukaryota; Metazoa; Chordata; Mammalia; Rodentia; Sciuridae. The record is from RNAcentral.
CAGCUCACUACACCCCAGCCAACAGGUGGGUCUGCCUUCUCACCAGGUGGUACCAGCUUUCAACCCUAGCUCUGGGACAGGCUUCUACUAAAUCCUUGUAGACACUUCUGAUGUCUCAACUCCCCUCUGCCUGACCCAUUUGAGAUUUCUUGUUGCUUGAAGAAUCUUUAAAUGUUGCCCUCCUCCCUUGGCUCCCUGAGACUCUGCAUUUGAGAUUGUUUCAUACUCCGAAUAUAACAUCAAAGUUAAACUCCUGACCAUUGCCCUUCCCUACUCUCAACAGGACCACCAUUUAUUUCUCAGUUUUCCUUAACACCUACAUGGUCAAUUCUUGCUUACCUUCUAUAUUUGGUAAUAAUGAGAAAGAUUUCAUUUAUAGACCUGUAUUAGUUUUUUUUUCCCUGUCCCUAUGACAAAAUACCAGAGGCUAUUUAAUGUAUAAAGCAAAAAAAGUUCACUAAGCUCCAUUUUGGAGGCUGAACGUGCAAGAUUGGACAGUCCCCUUGGUUUGGCCCUUGUCGAGGGCCCUCUUGUCUCUCUCACAUCAUGGUGGAUAGUAUCAUGGUAGGAGUGUGUGUGAGAGGGAGAGAUCACAGAUGAGUCAGGAAGUGGCCAGUCUUGCUCUUUUAUAACAGUCCCCUCCCAGGAGAACUAACUGGGGUCCCACAGGAACUCUACUAAUCUCUUCUGAGGACAAUUCUCCCAAUGACCUAAUCACCUUACACUAAGUUUCUACCACCUUCAUAUCCCCACCCUGGGGACCGAACUUCUGACCCAUGAAACCACUUAGAUACAGGUAUCCUGAACCUAUUUCAGGGCCUUGGGUGACCUUUAUGAAACUCACUAAGGUUCUUGACUUCCUGUGAGGCCCAUGCCUGUCCCCUACCGCAGCUCUGAGACCAGAACUCUUCCUGGGACUCUGUGGUGAGACUCUACUUUGGAAACCAGACAAAGGCAACCUCUGCAACCGAUUGGUCCAGGGCCAUUUACGGUGGGGCAGUUGGAACACGGGACUCCAACGAGACAAGGCCUGCUCAGUCCUCAACACAGGCUCAGC